CCCUCGGCUACGUCCUCGGCCCCGCCCCCCGGUCCACGUCACGGGCCCCGCCCUCCUUCGUACGUCACCGGCCCCGGCCCCGCCCCCGGUGAGGUGCGGCCGGGCGGCGGGCCUCCCGGCGGGCAGGGCGGCAGGCCUUGCGCCCCUUGGCUCCGCUGCGCUGCGCUCCGCUCCGCUCCCCUUGCAGACGUGGGGGAGGCCGCGCCGCCCCAUGAGGGCUUUGGUAGCGGGGCCGGCGGAGGGGCCGGCGUAGGGCGGGGGCCCCGCCCUUCCCCUCCCCUCCCCUCUCCAGUCCCCCCCUCCCCCCUCCGCCGCGGCCGCCGGGAGCGGCAGGUGAGGGGGAGGGGCGGGGGCGGCCGCUGCGGCUGGCGCGCGCGCGCGCUGGUGCCCGUGGCGGGGUCGGGGGUCGCGUGCGCCGAGCCGGUCCCCCGCGGCCCCCCGCAAGCCCCCGCAGCCCCUCCACCCUUGCUCCUCGGGACCUGCUGCCCUCCCCCUCCUUCCUCCUCCUCCUCCUCUCUCUUCCUCCUCCUCUCCUUCUUCUCCCUCCUCACCUUCCUCUUCCUCCCCCUCCUCACCUUUUUCUUCUCCUUUUCCCUCCUCCUCGGCUUCCUCUUCUUCUCCCUCCUCCCCCUCCUGUCCCUGCCUUCCCCUCUCCCUCCUUUUCUCCUUCCCUCUCUCUUCCCCUUCUCGUCCUCUCUCUCCCUCCUUCCCUCCCUUUUCUCUUUCCCUUCUCCUCUAUCUCCUCCCCCCUCCUCCUCUUCUUCUCUCCCUUCUCUUCCCCUCUCCUCUCUCUUCCUCCUUCCCCUUCUCUCCCCUCUCUCGUUCUCUCCCUCCUUCUCUCCCUCCUUCUCUCCCUCCCUCCCUCCCUCCCUCCCCCCUCUCCCUUCCGUUCCCCUCUCUCCCUUCUCCUCUCUCCUUCCCCUUCUCCGCUCUCUCCCCUCUCUCCUCCUCCUCCCUCCCUUCUUCUCUCUUUCCCUUCUCCUCCUCCUCCUCUCUCCCUUCUCUUCCUCCUUUCCUCUCUCUGUCCCUCUCAUCCUCUCUUCCUCUCCUCCUUUCCCCCUUCUUCUCUCUCCCUUCUCUCUCUCUUUCCCUCUCUCCCUCCCUUCUCCUGUCUCCUUCCCUCCUCUCUUUCCCUUCUCCUCCUCUCCCUCCCUCUCUUCCUUCUCCUCUCUUCCCCUUUUCUCUCUCUCUCCUUUCUCCUCUCUUCCCCUUUUCUCCCUCGCCUCCUCCCUCCCCCUCCUCUCUCCCUCCUCUCUCCCUCCUCUCUCCCUCCUCUCUCCCUCCUCUCUCCCUCCUCUCUCCCCCUUCUCCUCUCCCCCUUCCUUCCCUCCCUUCCUUCUCCUCUCUCUCCCUUCUCUCUUUCCCUUCUCCUCUCUCUCCAUCCUCUCCUUCCCUCUCUUUCCUUUCUCUCUCCCUUCUCCUCUCUUUCUCUUCUCCUCUCUCUCCCUCCUCCUCUCUUUCUCUUCUCCUCUCUCUCUCCUCCUUUUUUCUCUCUCUCCUCCUUUUUUCUCUCUCUCCUCCUUUUUUCUCUCUCUCUCCUCCUUUUCUCUCUCUCUCCUCCUUUUUUCUCUCUCUCUCCUCCUUUUCUCUCUCUCUCCGUCCUUCUCCUCCUCACCCUCCCCCCCAAAUGGAUGGAAAAGUUUUGUCCAGCUUGUGAUGCCGAACACAAGGGCCCUCCAUGCCUGUAAUAUCGCCGUGGGCCGGCAACGCGCCUGA
Molecule: long non-coding RNA, 1716 nt
Filed under: Ornithorhynchus anatinus (platypus)
Lineage: Eukaryota; Metazoa; Chordata; Mammalia; Monotremata; Ornithorhynchidae
Description: lncRNA (ENSOANG00000046044.1)
Source: RNAcentral